GCAAGUCGAACGAGAACUAGUUCAAUCGCAAGAUUGAACUAGGGACAGUGGCGAACGGGUGCGUAACACGUGAGAAACCUGCCCUGGAGAUCGGGAUAGCCCGAGGAAACUCGGAUUAAUACCGGAUAUGCUCACAGGACCACAUGGUCCAGUGAGGAAACAGUCCGCUGCUCCAGGAUGGUCUCGCGGCCUAUCAGCUUGUUGGUGAGGUAACGGCUCACCAAGGCUCUGACGGGUAGCUGGUCUGAGAGGACGAUC
RNAcentral lists this ribosomal RNA (258 nucleotides) under uncultured bacterium. RNAcentral's name for it is "partial 16S ribosomal RNA". It matches the Rfam family "Bacterial small subunit ribosomal RNA", at positions 57 to 305 of the family's 1533-position model. The record is from RNAcentral.